RNAcentral lists this long non-coding RNA (1839 nucleotides) under Podarcis lilfordi (Lilford's wall lizard). Lineage: Eukaryota; Metazoa; Chordata; Lepidosauria; Squamata; Lacertidae. The record is from RNAcentral.
AGGAGCUGAUAACUCUUCUUUUGGUUUCAGAAUGGCAAUUAAUAGCUUGGCACUAGAAAACCACAGACAAUUUGCCGGCGCAUAACUGGAGGCAAAAAGUAUGGACAGUUGCUCUAAUGGAGAAACUUUCGAAACAAGUAACAGCAUUGAAAACUAGAUUUCAAUAUUAGUUUGAUCAAGAUUAGUGAUAGUAUGAUAUACAUUCUGUAUACAGUGAUUUUAAAAAAUAUACACUGCAUACCAUUUAAGAACAGGAGGGACUUUGCAAUAGGCUCACCAUAUAAAAAAGACACAUUAGAGGAGUGUAACAGCAUAAGCAGAUUCUCUGGUACUCUACUGAAAUAAGAAAUGGCGCCCCUGGAUUUAUUCAGUUUUUUCUUCUUCUCUCCUUCAAUGUGUUUUAAAUCUGGGUGCCUUGGGCUUUCUAUACAUUAUUAGAUGUGAUACCCCCACUGCUGAAUAAUGAUUUUCAAUGCAUUCUAAUCAAAUGAUACUAAAGCAACACAGUCAACUAGACUAAAGAAUACAAAUGAAUAUAAUUUCUCUUGCACCAUUAUAAUGCAACGAUUUAUCCCUUACUCUCACUGCGUAAGUCAUUUUGCAUCCUUCAUUUUGAACAGCUGUUAGUUUAAAAAGUAGACACUACACAUUGUAUAUAAGAAAAUAGAUAGGGCAAAUGCAUUUCAAAUGCUUACUUGAGAUACAGCAGCUUAAUAUUCAAAUAUGGCUUAUCUAACUAAAUGCUCACGAGAAGGGAAAAGUACCCCCAGGACAGCUUAGAUAAACUUGGGUGCCAGCCGCAGUUCCUCUGAAACCUCCUGCUUUCCAUUUACAAGUCUAAAGAGCUGGCAAUCUUAUCUUCUGAAACGGUAAUUACUUGGGAAGGCUGGGCUUGAGGGAAGCAGCCCAACAGAACUGUAAGGAUUGGCUGUUUAGUAAAGCCGUGUGUGUGUGGGUGGGUGGGUGGCUGCUAAUAAUUUUCACAAGUAAAGAAAAGGCCUGGUUCAUUUGGAAAAGUAUCAUUCCCCAGCUAGCAUAAGGAUUACCUGCUUCUGAUGACAAUGGCUGGGGGGGAUGAUCUAUUGAUGAAAAUGGUUACAGUUCGGUCCUAAAAAUUUCUGCUCUAAACUUUAAAUUUAGGGCAGGAUUCACCCAACAGCCCUGUCAGUACAAGCCUUGUGUGAGGUCUUCUGCUUGCUCAACGGGGAUUUCCCUCUCUCCUGCUCCACCCAUAGCAUUCUCCAAAGCUCUCCAAACAGCACACAGGAAGAAGAAAAGGAGAAGUGUUCCGUCUGACAAACCGCAGUGUUGGUGCUGAUGGGACGUUCACCAUAGUAAGCAAAACCUGGGGCUGGCUUAAGGAAUUUUGCUGCCAGAAGCAAAGUUUGCCCCCUUGCCAAGUCAAGAUGGACUAGCCAAGUUAUUCCAGCACCUGAGACAGAAAAUGCCACAAGAUCUGCUCUCUUUUCCUGGCAGUUAAACAUACAAUAGUAAUGAAUUAAGCAAGUAAUAAUUUGCCCUUUCAUGACACCCAAGUUCAGCUCCCUGAGGCGGACAUCUCGCUUUGCCUAACGUUAGGACCGGCCUUCUACUGAAUUCAGAGUCUGUAAGUCUGCAUAAGAUUGUAGUCUUCAUGGGAGCAGGCUGUAAGUCAAGUAAAGCAGACUGGUGUUUUCAUUUGGUUUUCUGAAAACUAUAGGUCACGAUAAAACAACACAAUUUAAAGAGUAUUAAAGCUUGCUUUAACAAAUGCCCCUCAACAGUAUCUGGGGUGUUCUCACCCAAGUAAAUAUAUUAUCACAGUUCAAGCACCUCAGAGCGCCUAGAAAUAUAAUUUAA